Long non-coding RNA from Thamnophis elegans (Western terrestrial garter snake), 774 nucleotides. RefSeq lists it as uncharacterized. The record is from RefSeq and is a predicted model, not a curated record. NCBI's taxonomy places the organism in Eukaryota, Metazoa, Chordata, Lepidosauria, Squamata, Natricidae. The transcript has 3 exons.
GGGGAUAGAAAUGGACCCCGCUAAGGUCAAGGCUGUCACAGAACGGGGGGGAGGCCCCACAUACAGACACUGCAUGAAGGCGGCAGUUUCUUCUGUCUUCUCAAUAUUAACAAGGAGAGAGCUAUCCUAACUGUAUUCCAGAAACUGAGGCAGGGUUGGAUAUGGACAGUAAGUCUGUAAGCAACAAGAAAUUUGGCUACUGAAUCUUUGAUUGGUUUAUUUCAAGAAAGUGAAUGUCUUCAUGUCUGACAAUAAGGUACAAUGAAAGGAAAAAAUACUCUCCAAAUUUUUUUUUUUAAAUCUCAGGCAAAGAUAUACAGUAUUUCCUGAUUUUAUACUUUAUAAAGUAGGUAUCUGCAAAGAUGUUUGUCCAUGUAAAAUACCAUUUAAGAUUUAAUGGAAAUAAUGCCUCAAAAUCUUUAAUCUUGCACACCAAUUGUACUUACACAUGCAAGUUCUACUUUUUACAUUUAUAUCACACUAUGCUUUUCUGAGAUAUAAAGAAAUAUAUUUCUGUAUAUUCUGUAUAUUUUAUUUUUUAAAAAGUCAGGAAAAUAUCUAUUAUUAAAAUAUUUAUUUAUUUAGCCCUUGAGUUAGUGUUGACACCUGGUGACUACCUGGACAAAUCCCUGAUGUUUAUGGAAUCUAGUAAACUUGAAGAAUAUUUUGCCCUCAAUAUGUGUAUUAUUUGAAUUUUUCAUUAUGUAGCACUUACCCUGAAAAUAUUCACAUAAUUGUUUUCUAACAAAGUAUAUUAUUGUCAUAUUUGAUUUA